This 358-nucleotide transfer-messenger RNA is filed under the name Thiomicrospira sp. WB1. It matches the Rfam family "transfer-messenger RNA". Rfam says of the family: Bacterial tmRNA, also known as 10Sa RNA or SsrA, is named for its dual tRNA and mRNA-like properties. Its role is to liberate the mRNA from a stalled ribosome. To accomplish this part of the tmRNA is used as a reading frame that ends in a translation stop signal. RNAcentral also lists the same sequence under 2 other names. The record is from Rfam by way of RNAcentral. Lineage: Bacteria; Pseudomonadati; Pseudomonadota; Gammaproteobacteria; Thiotrichales; Piscirickettsiaceae.
GGGGCUGUUCUGGCUUCGACGGGGAGUACAAAGUUUGGGAUGCAUGCCGUGCCUGAGAUGACGCACGUAAAUCUUCAUUUCAAUUUGUUAUAGUUGCAAACGACGAUAACUACGCUCUAGCGGCUUAAUCCCGCUAGCACAGACCAGCCCCGUUGUUCGUGGCGCCUGGUUCUGUGUCGACUUACACGGAAUCGCUGGUCGUAUGUGUUUGGAUGCGGCCAGUUAAACUUUGACAAACUCGCGGUACGUGAUCCCGGCCGACUGGGUAGCGUGCCGUUAAAACAAUAGGUCGGAUAAGCAUGUAGAUUCUCGAGUGGCGGCUUCCCGGACGGGGGUUCGACUCCCCCCAGCUCCACCA